GAUGAACGCUGGCGGCGUGCUUAACACAUGCAAGUCGAGCGAAGCACUUUGCUUUGAUUUCUUCGGGAUGAAGAGCUUGGUGACUGAGCGGCGGACGGGUGAGUAACGCGUGGGUGACCUGCCCCAUACCCGGGGGAUAACAGCUGGAAACGGCUGCUAAUACCGCAUAAGCGCACAGAGCUGCAUGGCUCCGUGUGAAAAACUCUGGUGGUAUGGGAUGGGCCCGCGUCUGAUUAGGCAGUUGGCGGGGUAACGGCCCACCAAACCGACGAUCAGUAGCCGGCCUGAGAGGGCGACCGGCCACAUUGGGACUGAGACACGGCCCAAACUCCUACGGGAGGCAGCAGUGGGGAAUAUUGCACAAUGGGGGAAACCCUGAUGCAGCGACGCCGCGUGAGCGAAGAAGUAUUUCGGUAUGUAAACUUCUAUCAGCAGGGAAGAAAAUGACGGUACCUGACUAAGAAGCCCCGGCUA
Molecule: ribosomal RNA, 474 nt
Filed under: uncultured bacterium
Lineage: Bacteria
Description: bacterial SSU rRNA
Rfam family: Bacterial small subunit ribosomal RNA
Source: RNAcentral